CAAGAUGGUUCUAAAACCCAUUAAACUAUUUAUGGUAGCAAAGGUUUUCACGUAAAAUAAAAAAUGAAAAAAAAAGAUAUUGAUGAAAGAAAAACAAAUCAAAAGUUAGCUACCAACUAAUUAGUUAUUUCCAACUAAAUAGUUAGUUAUUUCCAACUAAACAGUUAGUUAUUUCCAACUAACUAGUCACCAAUAAUUAGUUAGUUACAUCGUGAAAAGUAUUCCUAAUAUGAGCCAAAGUUACAAUCAUACUUACAAUCACAAGGAUUUGGUUCGCCUCUCCAGCUUCCUCCUCGACGACGAAUCCUCUCAAGUCCGCCUCUGCUCGUUCCUCUCGUAGUUCCCUUCGCUCAGAGAGAGAGAGAGAGGAGUGGCGAAGAGGGGGAGGAGGAGAAGGUGAUUUAGGGCAUGGCAGCGGUGGCGAUCCAUCAGUUAGCGCAGUGCAUCACCUGCCAUGCUUGGUGCCCCGAUCAAUCUAGUCUACAAGAGCCUCCUCAUCGUUGUCUUCCUCGGUUUUCUAUUGAUCUUGGUUGCAUUUUAUCCAAACAGUCACGAGGUUCAUAUCUAUGAACUCUGUGGUGAAAAAUGGGAGAGGCUUAUCAAGAAGAAGCAUAAUUCUUCUGUUGCAAGUGUUGAAUGGCAUCCUAACAAUCUUCUUCUUGCAACAGCAUAUACUGAUGAUAAAUGUCGGGUUUUCUCCACUUUCAUCAAAGAUUUAGAUUCACGGACUUGAAGACUGAAACUGAAGUCCUUCUAGUUACCUCUAGAAGAGUCACGUGAGAUCCUGUACAUCAUAGAACAAUAUAUAGGCACAGCUGAAGUGGAUUAGUUACACAAUACAGAAAGGAUUUUGAUGCUAUGCUGUAUGGAUAUUGAGAUUAUGACUUUGUGCACUAAUAAGUAGAUGGAAGAAGUGAAGGAAAGGAAGCGUCAGCUCCAUCAGUUUUAAUAGUAUUUUUUUGCAGAAUAACACAUCAGCAGUAUUCAAAAGUUUGUAUCAUAAAAAUAAUCUUUCCUGGUAUAGUUCUCUUGUCCAUUGGUAUAGUCCAAGGUCUGGAAUUUUGUGUUUUCUUAAUGCUGAAAUGUAUCGGAAGUGCAUCAUGUUCCAUUUUUUCUGGUGCUGUCUAUCUUCAGCAGACCUCACUGCUGCAAUUGCUACCAUCGCACAAGAGCCUGCCCGUGCAUGGACCCUCCACGAAGGAAAGAAACACGCGACGACGGUGAUGGAACGCCAAGAUUCUGCACCCACUUGGAAGAGAUAGAGCAGCAUCAUGUGUCCUUUUACCUGGUGCAUGUACCUUGCAGAGCCGAGCUUUUAAGCAUACAGCGGACUUAUCGCAUCUUUGAUUGUGAUGACUCACAAGUCACCAGAACUACUGCUCCUUCCAAGUGCUUGUAUGUGCCCGAAACACCAAAGGAUCUGUAACGCCACUCUUGAUGUAGCUUUGAGCUCACAAAAUAGUUUAUCCAUUUAGAAUCUCAAAGCUUAGUGCCAUGCAUUCA
RNA transcript from Musa acuminata AAA Group (dessert banana), 1503 nucleotides. RefSeq lists it as uncharacterized. The transcript is spliced from 7 exons. The record is from RefSeq and is a predicted model, not a curated record. Lineage: Eukaryota; Viridiplantae; Streptophyta; Magnoliopsida; Zingiberales; Musaceae.